RNAcentral lists this unclassified non-coding RNA (212 nucleotides) under Hevea brasiliensis (rubber tree). The record is from RNAcentral. Lineage: Eukaryota; Viridiplantae; Streptophyta; Magnoliopsida; Malpighiales; Euphorbiaceae.
AAUCUCUAACGAUACUAAAAAACACUUCUGCUGCAACAUCAACUCCUUCCCUUCCUCUUCAAUUCUUUCAACAUAUUACAGAGGGUAGUUUCACCAAAAGAAUACAAGUGAUGAAGUAUAAAACUAUACUAACAAUAUGAUCAUAAUUCAUGUACAACAAUCUCGCUUCUUGCGCGACAAACAGACAUAUACUGAGAGUUUUCGAAUGAUGU